UGCAGUCGAGCGGUAACAUUUCUAGCUUGCUAGAAGAUGACGAGCGGCGGACGGGUGAGUAAUGCUUGGGAAUAUGCCUUAUGGUGGGGGACAACAGUUGGAAACGACUGCUAAUACCGCAUAAUGUCUACGGACCAAAGGGGGGGAUCUUCGGACCUCUCGCCAUUUGAUUAGCCCAAGUGAGAUUAGCUAGUUGGUGAGGUAAUGGCUCACCAAGGCGACGAUCUCUAGCUGGUUUGAGAGGAUGAUCAGCCACACUGGGACUGAGACACGGCCCAGACUCCUACGGGAGGCAGCAGUGGGGAAUAUUGCACAAUGGGCGCAAGCCUGAUGCAGCCAUGCCGCGUGUGUGAAGAAGGCCUUCGGGUUGUAAAGCACUUUCAGUAAGGAGGAAAGGGAUGUAGUUAAUAACUGCAUUCUGUGACGUUACUUACAGAAGAAGCACCGGCUAACUUCGUGCCAGCAGCCGCGGUAAUACGAGGGGUGCAAGCGUUAAUCGGAAUUACUGGGCGUAAAGCGUUCGUAGGCGGUUGAUUAAGCAAGAUGUGAAAGCCCAGGGCUCAACCUUGGAACUGCAUUUUGAACUGGUCAACUAGAGUACUGUAGAGGGUGGUGGAAUUUCCA
This 624-nucleotide ribosomal RNA is filed under the name uncultured bacterium. RNAcentral's name for it is "bacterial SSU rRNA". It matches the Rfam family "Bacterial small subunit ribosomal RNA", at positions 56 to 672 of the family's 1533-position model. The record is from RNAcentral.